This 253-nucleotide ribosomal RNA is filed under the name uncultured bacterium. Its description in RNAcentral is "partial 16S ribosomal RNA". It matches the Rfam family "Bacterial small subunit ribosomal RNA", at positions 524 to 776 of the family's 1533-position model. The record is from RNAcentral.
UACAGGGGGUGCAAACGUUGCUCGGAAUCAUUGGGCGUAAAGCGCACGUAGGCGGUUCGUUAUGUCGGAUGUGAAAGCCCUUGGCUUAACCGAGGAAGUGCAUCCGAAACUGGCGAGCUAGAGUACGAAAGAGGAUCGCGGAAUUCCCGGUGUAGAGGUGAAAUUCGUAGAGAUGUGGAGGAACACCAGUGGCGAAGGCGGCUUUCUGGUCUGUAACUGACGCUGAGGCGCGAAAGCGUGGGGAGCAAACAGG